AACGAACGCUGGCGGCAGGCCUAACACAUGCAAGUCGAACGCCCUAGCAAUAGGGAGUGGCAGACGGGUGAGUAACACGUGGGAACGUGCCCUUCGGUUCGGAAUAACUCAGGGAAACUUGAGCUAAUACCGGAUAAGUGCGAGAGCAGAAAGAUUUAUCGCCGAAGGAUCGGCCCGCGUCCGAUUAGCUAGUUGGUGAGGUAAUGGCUCACCAAGGAGACGAUCGGUAGCUGGUCUGAGAGGAUGACCAACCACACUGGGACUGAGACACGGCCCAGACUCCUACGGGAGGCAGCAGUGGGGAAUAUUGGACAAUGGGCGCAAGCCUGAUCCAGCCAUGCCGCGUGGGUGAUGAAGGCCCUAGGGUUGUAAAGCUCUUUCGCCAGGGACGAUAAUGACGGUACCUGGAUAAGAAGCCCCGGCUAACUUCGUGCCAGCCGCCGCAGUAA
Molecule: ribosomal RNA, 449 nt
Filed under: uncultured bacterium
Lineage: Bacteria
Description: partial 16S ribosomal RNA
Rfam family: Bacterial small subunit ribosomal RNA
Source: RNAcentral